Molecule: ribosomal RNA, 601 nt
Filed under: uncultured fungus
Lineage: Eukaryota; Fungi
Description: eukaryotic LSU rRNA
Rfam family: 5.8S ribosomal RNA (bases 208-361)
Source: RNAcentral
UCCGUAGGUGAACCUGCGGAAGGAUCAUUAAAGAUUCGGCCCUCGGGCUACUCUUUUCUUUGGCUGUGCGCCUUCGGGCUUGCACGCCAUUGAUAAAUCACACACACCCGUGCACCCACAUUUGGUUGUGGCAUUGUCCUCACAGAUGACGUCGCUUCCAAAUCACAUUUAACCACAAGUCCAGAAUGUAAAAAACCAUAAAGUAACAACUUUCAACAACGGAUCUCUUGGCUCUCGCAUCGAUGAAGAACGCAGCGAAUUGCGAUACGUAAUGUGAAUUGCAGAAUUCAGUGAAUCAUCGAAUCUUUGAACGCAUCUUGCGCUCCUUGGUAUUCCAUGGAGCAUGCCUGUUUGAGUGUCAUUUGUACCCUCAAGCUUUGCUUGGUGUUGGGCGUCUUGUCUCCAGUCCGCUGGAGACUCGCCUUAAAGUCAUUGGCAGCCGGCCUACUGGUUUCGGAGCGCAGCACAAGUCGCACUCUUUUUCCAGCCAAGGUCAGCGUCCAACAAGCCUUUUUUCAACUUUUGACCUCGGAUCAGGGUAGGGGGAUACCCGGCUGGAACUUAAGGGCAUAUCAAUAAGGCGGGAGGGAAGUCGACUGGC